Molecule: non-coding RNA, 172 nt
Filed under: unclassified sequences
Also listed under: 1 other name
Description: Clostridiales-1 RNA
Rfam family: Clostridiales-1 RNA
Source: RNAcentral
UAUUAUCAAAAGUAGAGGGACGAAGAGCCGUUCGUGCUAGCACGAAAAAGGCUUUAUGUAUUUUCGACCCGCCAAACAUGAGAAAGGAGCGAUUUACAAAGUAAAUCAGCGGAAUUCGAAUGUUUGGAGAAUUGAGGGAGCAGCAAAGCUGCGGAGCAAUUCGUAGGUAUUA